UUUUAUGAGAGUUUGAUCCUGGCUCAGGACGAACGCUGGCGGCGUGCCUAAUACAUGCAAGUCGAGCGGAUCUUUGGGAGCUUGCUCCCAAAGAUUAGCGGCGGACGGGUGAGUAACACGUGGGCAACCUGCCUGUAAGACUGGGAUAACUUCGGGAAACCGGAGCUAAUACCGGAUAACUUCUUUUCUCGCAUGAGGAGAGGUUGAAAGAUGGCUUCGGC
Molecule: ribosomal RNA, 221 nt
Filed under: Lederbergia citrea
Lineage: Bacteria; Bacillati; Bacillota; Bacilli; Caryophanales; Bacillaceae
Description: Bacterial small subunit ribosomal RNA
Rfam family: Bacterial small subunit ribosomal RNA
Source: Rfam by way of RNAcentral